Molecule: non-coding RNA, 26 nt
Filed under: Homo sapiens (human)
Lineage: Eukaryota; Metazoa; Chordata; Mammalia; Primates; Hominidae
Source: RNAcentral
UGCACCAUUGUGACCUACCAGAUGGU